Molecule: unclassified non-coding RNA, 346 nt
Filed under: uncultured fungus
Lineage: Eukaryota; Fungi
Description: sequence contains ITS1
Source: RNAcentral
AAUCCGAGAAUUUCACCUCCAACAACGAAAUAGCAACGCCCCCGAUCGUCUCUAUCGAUCAUUACCUCGGACCCGCAGACCGACGCACGGACCGAGGUCCUAUCGUGUCAUCCCAUGCUGACAUAUGCAGAGCGCACGCCUGCUUUAAACACUCUAAUUUACUCAAAGUGACAACGCACGACCCACGUCCCGAGCAGUGAAGCCCAGGAGCGCAUUUCGUGCAACAAGACGCACCGCACCGAUACACAUUCUCGAAGAACGGACCAGCGGGCACGCCCGAAGUACGACUACGAGCUUUUUAACCGCAACAACUUAAAUAUACGCUAUUGGAGCUGGAAUUACCGCU